This 37-nucleotide ribosomal RNA is filed under the name Sargassum muticum. Its description in RNAcentral is "partial 26S ribosomal RNA". Lineage: Eukaryota; Phaeophyceae; Fucales; Sargassaceae. RNAcentral also lists the same sequence under 4 other names. The record is from RNAcentral.
UACCCCCGAUCAAGCAAGAAGACCCGCUGAAUUUAAG